GAUGAACGCUGGCGGCGUGCCUAAUACAUGCAAGUCGAGCGAACGGACGAGAAGCUUGCUUCUCUGAUGUUAGCGGCGGACGGGUGAGUAACACGUGGAUAACCUACCUAUAAGACUGGGAUAACUUCGGGAAACCGGAGCUAAUACCGGAUAAUAUUUUGAACCGCAUGGUUCAAUAGUGAAAGACGGUUUUGCUGUCACUUAUAGAUGGAUCCGCGCCGCAUUAGCUAGUUGGUAAGGUAACGGCUUACCAAGGCAACGAUGCGUAGCCGACCUGAGAGGGUGAUCGGCCACACUGGAACUGAGACACGGUCCAGACUCCUACGGGAGGCAGCAGUAGGGAAUCUUCCGCAAUGGGCGAAAGCCUGACGGAGCAACGCCGCGUGAGUGAUGAAGGUCUUCGGAUCGUAAAACUCUGUUAUUAGGGAAGAACAUAUGUGUAAGUAACUGUGCACGUCUUGACGGUACCUAAUCAGAAAGCCACGGCUAACUACGUG
Molecule: ribosomal RNA, 497 nt
Filed under: uncultured bacterium
Lineage: Bacteria
Description: partial 16S ribosomal RNA
Rfam family: Bacterial small subunit ribosomal RNA
Source: RNAcentral